This 251-nucleotide ribosomal RNA is filed under the name uncultured bacterium. RNAcentral's name for it is "partial 16S ribosomal RNA". It matches the Rfam family "Bacterial small subunit ribosomal RNA", at positions 524 to 776 of the family's 1533-position model. The record is from RNAcentral.
GACGUAGGGCGCGAGCGUUGUCCGGAUUUAUUGGGCGUAAAGAGCUCGUAGGCGGCUUGUUGCGUCGACCGUGAAAACCCGGGGCUCAACUUCGGGCUUGCGGUCGAUACGGGCGGGCUAGAGUUCGGUAGGAGACUGGAAUUCCUGGUGUAGCGGUGAAAUGCGUAGAUAUCAGGAGGAACACCGGCGGUGUAGACGGCUUUCUGGACCGUAGCUGACGCUGAGACACGAAAGCGUGGGUAGCAAACAGG